CUCCAAGCGCCUCUUGAUGGUGUCCAUGCCGUUGUUCUCUGUCAGAAGCCUGUCCAGCUCAUAGCACAGCUCGGACUUCCAGAAGCCGAUGUCCGACAGCCUCUGGCCCAGGUUCCGGGAGGUCCCUUCCUGCAUCUGACGUGUCAGCUGGUCCUUAUCCUGCAUAAUCCGCAGGGAGUCGCUGGUCAGUCGGCUGGCCCAGAGCCGCGAGGCCUCUGCGCCCCGGAGCUGCAGCUCGUUGGAGCGGUCCCAGUCGCGUGGGGUGUAGCGACAGAAGAGUGCGGAGCGGAGCGAGGGCAGGAUGGUGGGGGGACGCCGGGAGCCUUGGCAUUCUUCUGGGCAUGUCUGGGUGGUGGCGAUCUUGUAGAAGACGCUGGGUUUCCACGCAUUCAGGUAGCGGUACCCGGGCAGAUGAAAGGGUUGGUAGCACUCCUGUACCACAGGAGCCUGCCCACCAGGGGGCGGCCCCUGCAAGCCACAGUCUUUCUUGGGUCCACAGUAACUGGCUGUCUGAGUGGUUCCAAGAAAUUCCAUCUUUCCCCAUCAGCCCCACGCGGGCAAAACUCCGCCCAAGGAGCCAGGGCAUCCCAGGAGCCAGAAGCCACAGGGCCUCUGUGACUCAGUGCUGGUGUCAUAAAGCGCGGGAGAGGGUCUUUGUGCCAGGUCCUCCUUCUCCAGGUAGUUGGAGGCCCUAUGAUCCAAAUAAAAAGCAGUCAACAAAGAGAAGCGCGUUUAAGGGACUGGAGAGACUGCUUGGCGGUUAAGAGCAAAGGACUCGAGUUCCCAGUACCCACGCACGUCACAGCCGCCUGUAAUCUAGCUCAAGGAGAUCUGAUUCCUCUGGCCUUCACGGGAACCCACGCACACAAACACAAAUGCACAUAACCAAAAAGAAAAUAAAAACAAGCCCCCUCCCUUUUUUUUUUAGUUUGACAACCCACAGGUUUGGGGUUGAAAGAAACGGCAGGUGUCUGUCAUUCUGGAACAACAAUGUCUGCCUUUCUAGAGCUGGAUCAGUGGGGGUGGGAGGGAGCGGGUGGGGGAGGGGGUAGUGCCCCACCAGCUGAGCCAACAUUAACUGGUUUUCUCUUUCCUUGUUCCCAAGGUAACAUGAAAAUGGCCCAACCACGCCUGCAAUCCCGGCACUUGGGAGGUGGAGGCAGGAAGGAGAUGAACACAUGGCCAUCCUCAGUUAUAUGUGCUUUUGUUUUGUUUUGAGACAAGGCUCUGUGUACCCAGGCUUGCCUCAAACUGGCUAUGUGGCUAAGGACGACCACGAACUUCUGAUUCUGCCCUGUGGCUGUCCUAAAUGUUGAGAUUAUGGGCCUAUGACACCGCAGGGUGUGUGCGGAAGUUUGAGCCCAGGGCUUCCUGCAUGCUAGGCAAGCAUUCUACCACCCACAUCCCAAGCCCUUGGUUCAUGAGUUUAAGGAUAGCCUGGGCUACAUGUGACUGAUUCCAAAUAUCAGAUACUUUAAAAUGGCCCGUGCAGAGCACAGAGUGGUUCUCAGCAGGUGUGUUCACACCAGCAGGAAUCGUCUUGGAGGUGCUGGACUAAGUGUGAGCGAGCAUUCAGACUGUAAAACCUAACUCGGAGUGACGGCUUUUGCAUGACAUUCGAGCAGCCUUCGAGGAAGGAGGGAAGAGAGAAGAGAGAUUCGCUGAUUGCUGCUGAACGGGUUGGAACAUGAUGUGUCCUUUGGCUCCACUGAAAACGGACAGUUAGGUGGGCCUGGUUCUGUGCCCAGGGACAUCAGUGAGAAACAACCCAAGGGGUCCUGUCUCUGGGCUCUGCAGUGUGGAGGAGUGAAAUCAUCCCAUGGUCUGGAUAGUUCCAGAAGAGCCUGCUGUCUGUGUGACAAGCCACUAGUCCUUCUGAGUCUUGUAGUAAAAGGAGAACAGCUUGGACUUUCCCCGCAAUAAAAGCAGUGUUAAGAGCGCA
Peromyscus eremicus (cactus mouse) is the source of this 1942-nucleotide long non-coding RNA. RefSeq lists it as uncharacterized. Lineage: Eukaryota; Metazoa; Chordata; Mammalia; Rodentia; Cricetidae. The record is from RefSeq and is a predicted model, not a curated record. The transcript has 2 exons.